GUACGUAAGAUAGACGUUCCUUGGCCACGUUUGUCAUUCGUUUCGGAGCGUUGGAGAGUCAGCAGCAGACGUUGAAUCUUGCGUCUUUUUUUUUGUUUAACUUUGUUACAUUUCAAUCACUCGGUGAUCUUUGCAUCUCCACAUUUGGGUAACCAAAGACUGUGUUUUGUUUUUGGUAAUGUGUCUUGAAGUGAUGAAAAUGAAAGAAAACUACCAGAAGGACACCGAGACCGCGCCUGUUCAUAAGAAGAAAUGGUCAAAGUCAAAGAGGAAGACUUUUCUGCGAGCAAAAAUCAGCGAAAAGAGACGACGGGUCCGCGCCUGGUCAACCAAGAGACGACAGUUUUGUCCGGACCGUGUUGAUGGUAACGUUACAGCUAUGCGGAAUCAAAGUUACGUACCAUCGGUUGCCAUGGCACCAAGAAACACAACACAGUAUUUAAUGGACCUGGAGUACGCUGAACGAUUAGAUGUUUCAUUUGAGACAUGUGAUGUAAGCCAUGAUUUCACAAUGCAGAUUCAUGUCCCAUUUGAUGAGAGCGUUUUCUCACUGUCGGACUCUGAUUACGACAGAUCGUUGGACUUUCAACAGCGAGACUUCGAGAAUGUGUUCUUCAGGAAUGAAAUCUGACGUAUUUCCGAAACCUGACUUGAUUUCGUCGGAACGAGACGACCGGGCGGCUGUGAAACCAUAGACAGUAAAAUCAUUGCGCAGACUCCAACUCAGGGAGGCGGAACGCUCUGCGUCACAGCUGCGUGAUGACGUGUACGCCACGCCCCGCCUCCAGUACGGCCACCACCACGUGGCCAACAGGUAAACUCGCUCCACCCUUUGUGUAUGCGGUGUUAGAGCGUUGCAGUAACCUGAUGUCGCAGUGUAAUAUGUGAACAGAUGUGCAUGCAUUGUUCUGCCUACGGAUGCAUGUGUGUUUUGAGAGACUUUUACAGGUUGCUGAUCCUCCUCGACGGAUCUCAGCUGUCUGUGCAACACACCCAGCGCCUUGGGACAAAGCCACAUGGCUGCCUGGUCAUCGCUGCUGGGUAAAUGUGGUAAAUGUUUGAAUGUCAAAUCACACAAGUGCACUCAGAUCUUCAUCUCAUGUGAGAUGAUCUUAUUUUGUGAGAACUUUUGUAAAUAUUGAUUGUAUUAAUUAUCUAUAAUUGUAUUAACUAUUAAAACAUCCAUAUGACUUUCAUGCUGAUUUUGUUUCUUGUUUAUUCAUUGUAUGAGCUUCAUUCAAAUAUAUGGGACAGGAAAAUGAGCAGAUAUGCAAAGACACAUCUGCUUGACGACAACAACAGAGUACUUAAAACUACAGUAUAGCCUAUAUAGCAAACUGACAUUUUCAUAAAGGUAUAUGGUUUGUGUUAAAUGUUAACGCACAAAGGCCUAAUGGUGGGAUAACUGCUGCAGGAUUAUGUGAUUAGGAGUUAAUGGACCCAAAAUGCAUGUAGAACAGUGGUUUUCAGCUAGGGUACUGCAAGAGACCCACGAGUAUUAAACUGUCAAAAACGUGUAGAACAUGUGAAAUGACUUUAUUUGUUCUUUCAACCACAUAUUUUACGCAUAUUGUACUCCUGGACUCGCCAAAUGAACCUGUUUUAAGAAACUGCAAGUGCUAGAGUUAAAGGUACAGUAAGUGAUUUCUGAGAAAUUCUGUUGAAAGUGGAUCUGACUGAGCACCAAAACACAUUUGUAGCCAAUCAGCAGUAAGGGGCGUGUAUACACAUUAGGGGGGAGUUGCUUGUGUUGCAUAGAAUGUUUGUGAAUUUGGGGGCGGAGCUAUCAAGAUAGGGAUGUGAUCUUUUUGGGUAGGGGUAUGUUUGUUUUGGGGAUUUUAAAUAUCAACCGUUUCUCAGAAAUUGCUACUGCACCUUUAAUAUUUGGCAUUUGUGGGGUCUUUUGAAUGUUGUUUUGUGCAAUUGGGGCCCAUGGAGUUCGGGGACUGCUGCUGGUGAGAAUGGGUACUCUUUAAGGUGAGAAUAGAAGAUGCAUGUUCAGGAAAUGUGAGCAAGUCUGUUUGUGUAUAGAGUACCUCAGAGAUGACGUAUUUUUGUAGGCCAACCCGGAAGUUAGCAGCGCAUGGGUUCCCUCGAUCGAAAGCCUAUGCAUUUUUCCCAUAGACUUUUGGAAAAUCACAAAUAAGCUGUCUUUAACAAAGGGUUAUGACACUUGCACGUUUUGUCUAUCAAGAUAAUCUUUACAGAUUAACAACAUUUAUACAUUUUGAAGCCUAAAGCCGUCAGAUAUAAAAAGUUAACAGUAGGAUAUAAACGGACUAUAGCACACCAUGGUCGCGGAUCAACGUCACCACCAAGCUUUCUCAAACUUUAUUUAAAAACAACUUUAUUUAAAAACAUGCUCGCUGAUUAUGAUCUGUGCUGUGUAUGAAUACUUGUCCACUUUUUUUUUUUUCAUGAGAAAUGCUGUCCAAAUGUCCUGUUUGUCAUGAUGACGUCUAAAGUCCCCGCCAAAGGAAGUAGUCCCUUUUAGCAACUUGUUAGCAACCGCCGUUUUUAAGACACCGUAAAGGUUUAAAAAAAUCACAAGUGGGUUAUAACUGAUGUUUCAUGUCAUAGAUCAAAACGUGAAAAUAUUUAGAGGCUUUGUUAACCACAGACGUUUCGGGCAUUUUAGCAAAAACCCAUAGACUUGAGGGUGAUGGAACUGAAAGUCCUAAAAUGCUAACUCGCUUCCGGGUUUUGUAUACAAAAACACGUCAUCUCUGAGGUACUCUCUUAGCGUCAGAAUUUAGCUUAAAAUUAACCUUUUAUGCCACCUUGAGUACAUUAAACCAUUUACACUGCAUGUAUGUACUUAAUGAAAUCAAUGGGGGUGAUCAGGUAAUGUUGAAAUACUGUUGCAACAGAGUGGUGUAGGUAUCACAUCACUUGUAGGCCAAAACAGAACGAGUUGGCAUUUUAGCACUUCCAGUUCCAUCAUGCCGAAGUCAAUGUUUUUUUUUAAACAGGAUUUUGGUAAAAUGGCUGAAAUAAGGUGUGUGGUGAACACAAGCUUAAGACACUUUCACGUUUUAUUCUACAACAUAAAAUACAUAAGUAUUACCCCACUCGUGAUUUUUAUUUUUUUUAUUAAAGCUACUACGUGUCCUAAAAAAGGUGGUUGCUAACAAGAGGCUAAAUGGGACUACAGAGGCUGUCGGGGAGAUUAAACGUUAAACUUUUACGGCCUCGUUAUGUGUAUAAUUGUACACAUAAACUAUUCUAACUAAUACUUAUAUAUAUAUAUAUAUAUAUAUAUCUCAAAAUGUUUUUAUAUAAAAACAAAGUUGUCAGAAGCUUAGUGGUGGUGAUGUUGAACUCGUGGGACCGUGGUGUUGAUUUAUAGCCUACCUUUAGCUUUUUAUCUCUGGUGACUGAUUUAGGCUUCAAAAUUCAUAAAAGUUGUGUUCAUAUGUGAAAAUUAUCUUGAUGGACAAAACGUGCAAUUAUAAUAAACUUUCGUUAAUCACAGAGCUUUUUUUUUUUUUUUUUUUUUUCGUUAAUCAAAAAGCCUAUGGAAAAAUCCUAUUGGGUUUUUGUCGAGGGAACCAGCGUGAUGCUAACUGCCGUUUGGCCUACAAAGUGACGUCAUAUCUGCGCCGAAAACUCUGAACCAUUCAUUUUAAUGUGAUUUUAGUGUGAAAUGUUUGCUAAUAUUUUCUGUAUGAAGUUAAAUAAAUUUACUAAGUUGCAGUGACAAUGAUCUGCCAUAUACUGUACAGUGAAACCCUAAAUCAACUGUAAAAAUGACUUCAGAUCAAAUAAUACACCGGUUUUAACAUAAGAAUUGAUGUACUGAUUUUGCUGUGGUCAUAAUUAUGACGCUGUCUUCAGUUCACGCAAAUGACUGCACAAGUCUAAAACCAAAAAGAGCACAUUUGGGAUAGAGUAAAGAGGCCUUAUGUUUUGGAAAAUCAGCAUGGACUGAAAUCAUUUUUGGAUCCAUGUUAGGGAAAAUUCAGGCUAUUCUGGAAGUGUUUUCUUUAUAAAUACAUAAGUAUACACAGCAAUAUGUGUAUUUUAGAUGGGUGCACAACGCACUUCAUCAAAUGAAAUGUAAACAAGCUGUGGAUCAGCACUUCUGUUAAUUGACUCUCUUGGUAUAUGAUUGUUUUGAGCACAGGAACACCUUGUUCCUUUCCUCACCGCACAGCUCUGUUUUUGGCACAGGGCGGUUCCAAAAAAAAAAAAAAAAAAAAACCAUGUGGCAAACAGGUGCACUUGCCUAACUGCCUUACACCACCAGGUGGCCCUAAAUUGCCACAGUAGAGUAAGGCCCACCACCAGUACUCUAGGAAGCCUGACAAGAGCAAUGUGUUGAUAAUCCUAGUGCCACAUUUAGAUUAUAGUGCAUGGCAUCUGUUUGUGAGGGGCAUGAAGCAAUGGAGGAGAGCAGGACGGGACAAACCUCUCAAAUUACACAAGGCAAUGAGGACACAAACCACAAAUGAAGGAACCCACACAAGGUUAGCUGUUUAUCGUACUGUUCUGGCAAAUGUUAUGGAGAAAGAAUGGACAAACUUGUGUGCAUCAGCUGUUUGGUGAUGGACGAAUGAACCAGCCUUUUGGCAAAACACCAGUACAAGAUAAAGGUGUGUGACUGCUUUUCCCAGGGGUCCAUAUGCUGUCACGCUGUGAAUAGUAAAAAGGAUCUCCCUUUCACCUGUGGAAAAUUGAUACAAUCCUGCUGUGAAUUGCUCCAUCCUUUUGGAAAUUGCUCCAGACUAUCAGAGAUUUCUCUGAAUGUAGAGAGAGCUUCAUGUAUCUGUUUUCCCCCUCAUUGUUUUGGCUCAUUGCAAUCAGUUCACUAUCACUGCUUGUUAGUGUCAGCAGCACCCAUGAGCUGCUCUCGUAUGAGUGAUGUAGCGUGUCAGAGUUUUGAAUGCUCUUAAAGGUCCCAUAUACUGUUUUAUGUCCAGCCACUAUUUUUCAUCACGCAUGGCUGCAUAUGUCAGAUGUCAUGUGCCACUGCACAGCGCAAUUGUCUGUGCAGCCUCAGAGCUCACACAUGUUGUAUCUGUCAUGUAAGAGUGAUGAUUACUUGAAAACAGGAAGAGCUCUGCUCUUUCCCAGAUUAACCUUUGCUUAUUGUGCAUAUCCACCUUAUUCCUGACAAGCCUACAGCGUUUUGAAUUAUGGGUGGCACUUCCAGUUUUGGGAAACUUCCAUUCAAAAAGACUGAAACGAAUCAUUUCAAAUCAUAAGGUUGCCCUAUAAAUAAAGCUUAUUCUUCAGUUUGAUGUCAGUUAUGCUUUUUUCGUAAGUUCAAUAUGGAAGAUGAGGAUGUAGCGUAAGCUUUUUUGAACUGCGAGAGCCGUUACACUUUCUUCGUAAGAUGAAUACGGAAGGAGAUAUUUUACUUUAUAACUUGUUAAAUAUGGAUAUUUUUCUUACACAAACACAUCGCUUCGCUUCAGAAGCCCU
This is a long non-coding RNA of Ctenopharyngodon idella (grass carp), 5427 nucleotides long. RefSeq lists it as uncharacterized. NCBI's taxonomy places the organism in Eukaryota, Metazoa, Chordata, Actinopteri, Cypriniformes, Xenocyprididae. The record is from RefSeq and is a predicted model, not a curated record. The transcript has 4 exons.